RNAcentral lists this ribosomal RNA (253 nucleotides) under uncultured prokaryote. Its description in RNAcentral is "partial 16S ribosomal RNA". It matches the Rfam family "Bacterial small subunit ribosomal RNA", at positions 525 to 777 of the family's 1533-position model. The record is from RNAcentral.
ACGUAGGAGGCAAGCGUUGUCCGGAAUCACUGGGCGUAAAGCGCGUGUAGGUGGUACGACAAGUCUGCUGUGAAAGCGCCUGGCUUAACCGGGCGAGGUCGGCGGAAACUGUCGCACUUGAGGACGGUAGAGGGGGGUGGAAUUCCGGGUGGAGCGGUGAAAUGCGUAGAGAUCCGGAGGAACACCGACGGCGAAGGCAGCGCCCUGGCCGCCGCCCGACGCUCAGGCACGAAAGCUGGGGGAGCGAACAGGA